AACAAAUUAUCUAAAGAGAGAGAGAGAGGAAACCGUGAAAGGGAGAGAGGGAAGAGAGACAAUUUUCCCAACAUCCACGGAGGCUUUGAAGAUGAUGGAAGAGAAUUGAAGGAAAAGAAAGAAGAUCACCCAUGGGACUUGGAGGAAUUGAAGAGAGCUAAGAGAUAGACAAAGAUUGAGUUAGGUCGAGACGAGGACAUCGUCCUAUUACUACCGGGAGCUGAUCACUGUGAGUAGUAGUACGGUAGUCGUACGUUCAAUUAUCGUUAAUUAUUUUUAUCGUUAAUAUGCUAUUCCUUGCAAGUACUUAAGUUAACAAUGUGUCGAUUGGAAAAUCUAGAGGCAUUAUUGAGCGGUAUUACUGUUGACAAAGAAGACUAACAUUCUGUUAUUUGCAAGAUAGCUAUAGUGAUUCAUGAUGAACAAAGGGAACGUAUAAGCACUAUGGAACCAUGGUAAUUACUUUGGGAGUCCGUCUUAACCCUUGAUGCUCACCCUCCAAUUGUCAACCUCAGUAUGCCCAGACUCCCAGACCAAGCCCAUGCAUUUAUGUGAAGUUUUGUUAAGAUUUUGGCUUGCACUUUAAUUAUUUACUUAAGGUUAAAAUGUAUGUAUAUAUCCCCUUUCUUUACCAAUGUUCGGAUAUAACGCUCAUUUAUAUGUAUGGGUAUGUAUAUAGAUAAAUGGCUCUCACGUAUGUGAUCCUGGCAUGUUAGUUUUACCUCAAUGGAUGUUAUUCUAUGUUACUUUGUAAUAUUAAAUGCUUCCGUUCAGGCCCUAUAUAUUAUGUAUAUCAGGUUAUGUGUCCGUAUCUGCAUAGGUCAUGCCUGAACUUUUAGGGGCGAGUUUGGGGCGUGACAUCUAAUGUUUUGUUUUAUCUGUCUUUUAUUUAUUGGAGACAAAAAAGAACAAUGGGGUUCCUGUUAGUCGGUCACAGGUGUGGAUGGUCGCAUACAUGAAUACAUUGUUAAUGCUACCUAAUUUGAUUCCACUCAGGUGAUACUGUUUAUUUGAUUCUAAAGCUACUCGUUUAAUCAUUUAAACAAUUAGGGAGUACGUGAUGA
Molecule: non-coding RNA, 1064 nt
Organism: Camellia sinensis
Lineage: Eukaryota; Viridiplantae; Streptophyta; Magnoliopsida; Ericales; Theaceae
Source: RefSeq, a predicted model, not a curated record